Molecule: ribosomal RNA, 1032 nt
Filed under: Amolops wuyiensis (Sanchiang sucker frog)
Lineage: Eukaryota; Metazoa; Chordata; Amphibia; Anura; Ranidae
Description: partial 16S ribosomal RNA
Rfam family: Archaeal large subunit ribosomal RNA
Source: RNAcentral
UAGCUCUACCUUAGUUUCUUUAUUACACCAAACAAAAUACUAAACUUAAGAGCUAUUCAAAUAAGGUACAGCUUAUUUGAAACAGGCUACAACCUUCAACACCGGGUUAAUAUAGAUUCUAUAAGUUAAGUGGGCCUAAAAGCAGCCAUCUUACAGAAAGCGUUAAAGCUCAACUAUUUUCCCUUCUAAAUUCCAAAAAUUAUCUUCAACCCUUCAUUACUACUGAACUAUUUUAUACCUAUAUAAAAGUUAUCAUGCUAGAACUAGUAACAAGAAUUAGCCCUUCUCCAAAAUGUAUACUUAAGCCAAAAUGGACACCCCAUUGGCAGUUACCGCAAAUGCACCCAUUAUAGUACCUCACAACUAGACAACUCUAUAACUUUUAGCGUUAACCUGACACUAGAACAUUACAGGAAAGAUUAAAAGAGAAAGAAGGAACUCGGCAAAUCUCGGUCCCGCCUGUUUACCAAAAACAUCGCCUCUUGACUAAAUAUAAGAGGUCCAGCCUGCCCACUGACAUAGUUUAACGGCCGCGGUACCCUAACCGUGCGAAGGUAGCAUAAUCACUUGUUCUUUAAAUAAGGACUCGUAUCAACGGCAUCACGAGGACUGUACUGUCUCCUUUCUCCAAUCAGUGAAACUGAUCUCCCCGUGAAGAAGCGGGGAUUAACCUAUAAGACGAGAAGACCCCAUGGAGCUUAAAGCCCAUAAACACCUCUACGCACUUAAAUCAACUUAGCCUAAGAGACCUGUCAGCCAGCUUUAGGUUGGGGGGACCGCGGAGAAAAACUUAACCUCCACGACAAACGGGCAAACGCCCUUAUCCAUGAAUUACAAUUCUAAGAAUCAAUAAACUGAUGUUUAAUGACCCGAUUAUUCGAUCAACGAACCAAGUUACCCUGGGGAUAACAGCGCAAUCUACUUUAAGAGCCCAUAUCGACAAGUAGGUUUACGACCUCGAUGUUGGAUCAGGGUAUCCUAGUGGUGCAGCCGCUACUAAAGGUUCGUUUGUUCAACGAUUAAAACCCUACG